GGGAAGAGGUCUGGAAAAACUCCAAUUACUCAGGGUAACUGCCAUCCAAAACUGGCCCUGACCAUGUCACAAGAAAUGCCUAGGCAUAAUGGGGUACCACAGGGGAUUUAUCUUGCAUUUUGACAGAUAGGCGGAUUCUCAGAACACCCAGACAGACAAGGCCAGAACCAGAAGACAUAAAACAAGCCUCAGCCAUCAGCUGAUCUGUUGUAAGAGAGUCAGCAGAAAUGAGGGAUGUAAGCAAUAGAGAGAGGCAAAGGAAUGAAGUCAACAAGAGCAUAGAACAGAAAACAGGAAUCUACAAUUUCAGUCCCUCCAGGCUGAACACAUCCACAGCUUCACACAAGGUGCCAAAAUGUUGGAUUUCUAUUUUCUUCCUCAACCUGCAAGGAAAAUAAAGUAAUGGAAAC
This is a non-coding RNA of Pelodiscus sinensis (Chinese soft-shelled turtle), 410 nucleotides long. The record is from RefSeq and is a predicted model, not a curated record. NCBI's taxonomy places the organism in Eukaryota, Metazoa, Chordata, Testudines, Trionychidae.